AGUGAACGCUGGCGGUAGGCCUAACACAUGCAAGUCGAACGGCAGCACAGAGGAGCUUGCUCCUUGGGUGGCGAGUGGCGGACGGGUGAGGAAUACAUCGGAAUCUACCUUGUCGUGGGGGAUAACGUAGGGAAACUUACGCUAAUACCGCAUACGGACCCCAUACCGAGAGGUAUAAGGUGAAAGUAGGGGAUCGCAAGACCUUACGCGAUUGGAUGAGCCGAUGUCGGAUUAGCUAGUUGGCGGGGUAAAGCCCACCAAGGCGACGAUCCGUAGCUGGUCUGAGAGGAUGAUCAGCCACACUGGAACUGAGGACACGGUCCAGACUCCUACGGGAGGCAGCAGUGGGGAAUAUUGGACAAUGGGGCAACCCUGAUCCAGCGACGCCGCGUGGGUGAAGAAGGCCUGCGGGUUGUAAAGCCC
RNAcentral lists this ribosomal RNA (423 nucleotides) under uncultured bacterium. Its description in RNAcentral is "bacterial SSU rRNA". It matches the Rfam family "Bacterial small subunit ribosomal RNA", at positions 29 to 433 of the family's 1533-position model. The record is from RNAcentral.